This 445-nucleotide ribosomal RNA is filed under the name uncultured bacterium. RNAcentral describes it as "bacterial SSU rRNA". It matches the Rfam family "Bacterial small subunit ribosomal RNA", at positions 354 to 796 of the family's 1533-position model. The record is from RNAcentral.
GUAGGGAAUAUUGGGCAAUGGAGGCAACUCUGACCCAGCCAUGCCGCGUGCAGGAUGACGGCCCUCUGGGUUGUAAACUGCUUUUAUACGGGAAGAAAAAAUACUACGUGUAGUAUACUGACGGUACCGUAAGAAUAAGGAUCGGCUAACUCCGUGCCAGUAGCCGCGGUAAUACGGAGGAUCCAAGCGUUGUCCGGAUUUAUUGGGUUUAAAGGGUGCGUAGGCGGAUCUUUAAGUCAGUGGUGAAAGCCUGCAGCUUAACUGUAGAAUUGCCAUUGAAACUGAAGAUCUUGAAUGUGGUUAAAGUAGGCGGAAUGUAUCAUGUAGCGGUGAAAUGCUUAGAUAUGAUACAGAACACCGAUAGCGAAGGCAGCUUGCUGAACCAUUAUUGACGCUGAGGCACGAAAGCGUGGGGAGCGAACAGGAUUAGAAACCCUAGUAGUCC